RNAcentral lists this unclassified non-coding RNA (305 nucleotides) under fungal sp. RNAcentral describes it as "partial internal transcribed spacer region". The stretch from base 1 to 46 matches the Rfam family "Eukaryotic small subunit ribosomal RNA", at positions 1786 to 1831 of the family's 1831-position model. The record is from RNAcentral. Lineage: Eukaryota; Fungi.
AAGUCGUAACAAGGUUUCCGUAGGUGAACCUGCGGAAGGAUCAUUAACAUUUUUACUCUUUUUGGGUUUAGUUUGUGUUGUUUGUUUUCAUUAACAGAUGCACAUUCUACUCUCCUUUCACCCCAAAUGUGCAUUGUGUUGUGCUUUUUGACUCAAAUCAAAAGCACUUCUUUUUUAUCUAUCUAUACUAAAUAAAACCCCUUUUUAUUACUUCUAGACUGACUUUAAACCACUUGAUUCGUACACUUCAUACUGUACGAUGACCAAUCAUAAUACAACUCUUAGCAACGGAUAUCUAGGCUCUC